GAGAGCUUGCUCUUGGGUGACGAGUGGCGGACGGGUGAGUAAUGUCUGGGGAUCUGCCCGAUAGAGGGGGAUAACCACUGGAAACGGUGGCUAAUACCGCAUAACGUCGCAAGACCAAAGAGGGGGACCUUCGGGCCUCUCACUAUCGGAUGAACCCAGAUGGGAUUAGCUAGUAGGCGGGGUAAUGGCCCACCUAGGCGACGAUCCCUAGCUGGUCUGAGAGGAUGACCAGCCACACUGGAACUGAGACACGGUCCAGACUCCUACGGGAGGCAGCAGUGGGGAAUAUUGCACAAUGGGCGCAAGCCUGAUGCAGCCAUGCCGCGUGUAUGAAGAAGGCCUUCGGGUUGUAAAGUACUUUCAGCGGGGAGGAAGGCGAUGUGGUUAAUAACCUUACCGAUUGACGUUACCCGCAGAAGAAGCACCGGCUAACUCCGUGCCAGCAGCCGCGGUAAUACGGAGGGUGCAAGCGUUAAUCGGAAUUACUGGGCGUAAAGCGCACGCAGGCGGUCUGUUAAGUCAGAUGUGAAAUCCCCGGGCUUAACCUGGGAACUGCAUUUGAAACUGGCAGGCUUGAGUCUUGUAGAGGGGGGUAGAAU
Molecule: ribosomal RNA, 599 nt
Filed under: uncultured bacterium
Lineage: Bacteria
Description: bacterial SSU rRNA
Rfam family: Bacterial small subunit ribosomal RNA
Source: RNAcentral